Molecule: non-coding RNA, 7882 nt
Organism: Pelobates cultripes (western spadefoot toad)
Lineage: Eukaryota; Metazoa; Chordata; Amphibia; Anura; Pelobatidae
Source: the annotation of a GenBank genome assembly
UUUUUUUAUUUUUUUUUAAAGCCCGUCCAAAUCGGGACUAAACUACGGAACCCGGAGAGGAGCGGGGGGAGACGACGACGAGCGGGGCUGUCCCGAGCCGGUCGGGGCAGUUCAGUUAGCAGGAUGGGGCGGCGGCCGGUGCGGCGGUUACCAUAGCAACGGUCAGCACUUUGGGGAUCCAGAGGCCUUGAGCUGGGACUGGGCCACAUCCUAUAGUGACAUAUAGAAGGAGGAGGAGGAGGAGGAGGAGGGGAGGGGGGUGACCCUGGGAUCAUGACCAUCCCGGGAACAACUCCACAUACAGCACCCCAACUCUGGCAGGUAAAACCCGCAAUGGCAGCAAUUUCUCUACUUCUUCCUCUUAAUGACAGCCAAACAGAUUGUAAGCUCUUGGGGCUAACUAUUGAUUUACACCUAUCUGUAUAAUGUGAGGGUGGCUGAGAGGUCAUCACCCUAGCUGUGACAGGACUAUCACUCCCAUCAUGCUCUGUCAGGCUGCUUGAAAGGAUUACAGCUGUGGUGGACUAAUAACACCCACAGUGCAUGCUGGGAAGUUUAGUUCCUCACAGCUGGAGGGCCAAAGUUCAGCCAGUCAUUGGCCAAUAGGCUGGUGUAGGGUAUGAAUGUGGAAAUUAUUUAAUUUUAAAUAAAGUGGUUUUGUUUUUUAAAUUCAGUAUCCUGUUAACUUGGGUCAUGUCUGAGGCCCAGAUAAACAAGAAAGGAUACAAAAUUAAAAUAGCAAACAAAAAAAGGUGAAGGAUCAAAUGAUUUGUGUAUGUGUAUCAGGUCUCCUUUUUAUUUUAUUUUGUAUGUUUAUAAUAGUUAUUCAUUUAAAUGGGAAUUAGAACAUGUUAAGCCAAAAUAGUUGUCAGAAAACUUUUUUUUAUUUUAUAUAUAUAUAUAUAUAUAUAUAUAUAUAUAUAUAUAUAUAUAUAUAUAUUUUUUUUUUAUUCAGCUAAAAAAUUAAUAUUCCUGGUUUACCGAAUAACUGUAGGCUACAAUCAAAUUAUGAAACUAAGGCUAAAAUGGCCAAACGAUAAUCACAUAGUUUUAUUAUUAUUAUUUAUUUAUUUAUUUAUAUAUAUAUACAUAUAAUUUUUUUUUUAUUUUUUUUUCUAUUUUUGAAAUUUUAUUUUCAAAUAAUUAUGUUGUUUAGUGAAUAGACCCAAUGAUUGUAUGGAAUUUGCAUAGUGUUAUUCAUCAAAGUAUACAUUUCUUAUUUUAGGUCUAAUAAGAAUUCUAAAACGUAUCCCUGAUAGCUCUGUAUAUUCACUGUUUUUUUGUUUUUGUUUUUCUGCCUAAACACAAAUCAGUUGGAAUUCCUAAGCAUACACUCUUCAGUGAAUAACCCUUCGGGUAAUAACGUCAGACAUAAGUGGCAUUCUUCUUGGUUGUGCUAAGAUUCUGACACUUAUCAUCCUCAGCCUUGUCAGAAAGGCUGGUAGGAGUUAUGUGUGUUACUUGAAGUCCUGCUACCAUUAAAAGACCUUUGUGAGUACCUUCCCUAACGUUUACACUGGGAUAUACAAAACCCCCCAACAUUGCAGAAUGAAGGGAUAUUUGUCUAGACUUGUGAAGUCUUGAAAAUAAAUGAAAUAUUAAAUUUAUACAUGUGCAUGGUUGGCCUAUGGACCACACCUCGAGUAAUUUACUGCUAUUUAAUUAGUGGAAGCAUUCUGAAUGAGCAGUCCCUUAUAUUUAGCAUUAAUAAAAUCUAAGUUUAUUAGAACAAAGCAAAGCUGAGCUGGUUUUAUCCACUAAUCUGGGAAUUGUAAUAGAUUGACUAGGGGAUUUGAAAGGUGCCAAACUGCAGAAAAUGCUAGCUUAGAAAAUGUUUACAAUUCAGCUACUUUGGCCUAAACUUUGCAGUUCCCUUGGCCCGUGACCACAGUUUCCUAUUUGAUGAAUGAACCUCAGUGUUGUGCUGCUUGACAGAAGAAGGCAGUAAGGUUUUUGUGUGUUUUGCAGUGUAUAUAGCUGUAUUGUAUUGUGUUAUUACCUGAACAUUUGGCCACAUGCAAAAAACAUCUUUCAUUUUUAAUAGUACAUUUUUAGUAACUGUCACAGCAGUUCUUAAUUAUGUGAUUCAGAUAAAACUAAAAUAUUAAUAUUUUAUUCCACUUACUAAUGGCAAUCACUGUAGAAGGUGGGCUAUUAUUAUUUUUUCAUGUGAAGUAAAUAUGUGCAUUUAAUUUUUUUCCCAGCUUGUUCCUUAUUUGUAAAUAGUUCAUAUUUCCUUGUCGUGUGUGGUUGUGUUUUUUAUUUUGUUAAUCUCUUUUGGACCAAGUGUAUGCUGCAUUUUGAAUGUUAGCAAAUGUUAUUCAUCUCCGGGAAACCGUGAUGCAAAUAGUGACUUUACAGACUAAAAUAUAUUUAUUGUUUUAGGUUGUAUCAAUGUUUGCACGUUGAUAUGUUUUAUCCUUUUGGUAUACAUCCAAUGUCACGCUGCCUGAAUGAACUUGGCAUGUUAGGAAAACUGUCUAUAUUCUCCAAAUAUAGAUGCAUUUCCUAAAUGGGGGUUUUGUAUAGAUCAAUUAGGGUCCUACGCAGGGUCUUAUCAUUGGACAAGAGGAAAUUUAUAAAAUCAUUAUGAAUGGUAAAAGUGGGAUGGUCAACAUAGGAUUGAAUGGUAUCAGCAACUACAUAAAUUCCAUGGGUGAUUGCUUCACUUUUCUGAUCACCACUAUAUUCUCUUUUUAUAGGUGGAAUUUAGAGUAUUAGGAUCUUGUAUUGAUAAGGUCCUCUAAGCAGCUGGGGAGUUAAUGUUGCCAUGCAGUGCUCGGAUAUCUCUUCUUCUUAGCACAGUGCAUAAAUUAUGGUGAGAUAAUAGAGGUAAGUCACAACAUAAAUUGAUAUCUGAUGUUCCACACUGUACAAGGUUUGACAAGUUUUGAAACUUUAGAGGCCAAAAUCUAGAGCUUCUUAUAAUGGAAAUGAGCCAGGAGAAAGAUUAUCAUAUGCUUUUUUUGAUGUUGCUUGAUGAGGAGGGAAUCAUUCAGAUGACCGAAUAAGGCUCCAUCAAUUUUAAGAGUAAAAUAAGGUGUUUGGAAUAGCUAGACACUCUGUUCCCUUCCUGUAUAGAGGUGUAUAUGAUGCUGUAAUGGAUGGUGGGAAAGUCUAAGGAUGUGUGCAUAACCUAGGCCGUGGGGUGAGGAGUUCCCCUGGUCCUGCUUCGAUUUACAUCUUAUUUACUGCCACACACUGCAAGUAUAACAGCCACUAUAUCCCAACCACUUCAAGCAAACACAAAGCACCAUCUGACCCACACACUUACUUGUUAGAAUGCCUUCAAUUUAUAGGUGGCUGCUUAACAGAAAGUUGGUGCCUCAGGUAAACAGUCAAUGAAACCAUGAAUGGAGCUAUCUAUUAGGCAGUGUAAUCACAGCCACACUGCAUAUCGGCACACCUCAGGCAACCGUUUCACUCAUGGUUUUUCUCAUGAGCUGUUGAGUGCAAAACUGCAUAUCCUCCUAACUGCAAAAAGGAAACCCUUCAUUGUGAGAAGGGUGGUCUUACAAAUAAAAACAAUAAAAUAAAAAAAUGGCUGAGUUUAACAUUAAAGGAUCACUCUGAACUUCAUAACAACUUGUCUCUCACAUGUCAGAGGAAGGGAGAGGUGAGCUGUAGUAAAGUGCAUGUGUGGCUGUCAGCUUGGUAGACCACCCAGUCCAACUCACAAAACCAUGAAUCAAUCUUUAUAUAAAAGGAACACUACCAACCCAUAGCUUGUUGAAGUUGUUAUAGGGAUAAGAGUGUCUGGGCAUUGUCUUACCUUCAGUGUUUAAACUACUUCCAACUAUUUAAUCUCAAAGUUUGUCCCCUGAAUUUUUAGCAUUGCUUCCCCCUAUUUUCAUUCUUCUCUGCCACUGGCUUAUGACGAUGGUUUUUCUCUGUGACCAAUUAUAGGCUGAGAGUGUUGGCUGUGGCACCCUGCCUAACACUGGCUGCCCUUAUAGAGAAGUACUAUUUACUGUUCAUAGUUUUUACAAAAAUUGACAGCAGAUCUAACAAUUUUAAGUCCUAAUAUACAAGCCAUUUGAAUAUAAAGAAUAAUCCAGGCACUCCAGCAUAUUCCAAAAUGUAGGCAAUCUUUAUUGGAACAAGGAACCCAAAAGCAAUGUUUUGACCUCCUUAAGGCCUUUGUAAAGCAAAAGACAAAGGCCUUAAGGGGUCGAAAUGUUGCUUUUUGGUUCCUUGUUCCAAUAAAGAUUGCCUACAUUUUGGAAUAUGCUGGAGUGCCUGGAUUAUUCUUUAUAUUCAAAUGCUUCAAUUGGUCCUUUUUUGGUACUGGGACUUAUCCACUAGAGCAUCCUGAAUUCCAGACGAAGGAUUGAGCGCACCUCCAUCACCUACAUAUGCUUAUAUACGAGCCAGACUUAAAUAUUGCUUUCCACUAUAAACUUCCACUUACAAAUUGAUCUCCACGGCAGCAUGAUCUGUGGCCUAGCCCUAAUGAUUUGUACAAUACUUUUGUAGUAGGUGGGUUCGUUCUAGGAAUGUAUUGGGUUUUCCUAUCUGUUUUUUUAUUUUUCUUAGAGCUGCACAGUUUGAGAAAAAUCAGGAAAGGCUUGUCUGUGCAUGGCCUUUUUGGUUGGUGACGUUUGCUCUUGUAGAAGAAGAUUCGUAUAUUCACAUUUGUAUAGGAGAGAGAGUUGGGGUCACCUCUAAUGAUUUUCCUAUGAAGGUUAGCUUUAUAGUCCACAGAGCAGUGAGUGACUGCGCAGGCCAGCCUAAUAAAAGCUUCAUGUUGAGGAUAUAGAUGCACUGCCCUAAAAAAUUUCAUUUUUUUGCAGAAGUGUUCUUUUACAUAUGGCAUUUUGAGAUAAGGACCAUUGGGCAGCCAUUUAAAUUAGUUCAUGUUAGGGAUCGACCGAUAUUGAUUUUUUAGAGCCGAUACCGAUAUUCCGUUAACUUUCAGGCCGAUAGCCGAUAUAAUUUGCCGAUAUUCUGUACAUUUACCAUUUUGGAAAAUAAAAACUAUUUCUAAAGGUAAAUGCACAAAAUAUACAUGCCACGUGUAGUGGAUACAGUGUGUUUAGACAGGGGAGCUGUAUGUGUUUGUGUAGUGGAUGCAGUGUAUGUUUGUGUAGUGUGUGUAGUGGAUGCAGUGUGUGUUUGUGUAGUGUGUGUGUGUGGAUGCAGUGUGUGUUUGUCUAGUGUGUAGUGGAUGCAGUGUGUAUUUGUCUAGUGUGUAGUGGAUGCAGUGUGUAUUAGUGUAGUGUGUGUAUAUAAUGAAAGCAGAGUGAUUGUGUAGUGUGUGGGUAGUGUGUGUAAAGUGAAUGCAGUAUAUACUAAAUGCAAAGUGUGUGUGUUUAUGUAGUGUAUAUAACGAAUGUAGUGUGUUUAUAUAAUGCAGAGUGUGUGUGUUUGUAUAGUGUGUGUAUAUAUAAUGCAGUGUUUGUGUAGUGUGCAUUAUAUAAACACACUAUGCAAACACACACUGCAUUAAUUAUAUACACACACUAAACACACUGCAUUAUAUACGCACACUACACACACUGCAUUAUACACACUACACAAACACUGCAUUGUAUACACGCACUGCAUUAUACACACACUGCAUUAUAUAUACACACACUGCAUUAUAUACACACCCUACACAAACACUGCAUUGUAUACACACACUACACAAACACUGUAUUGUAUACACACUGCAUUAUAUACACAGUGUGUUUGUGUAGUGUGUGUGUGUGUGUGUGUAUAUAAUGCAGUGUGUAGUGUGUUUGUGUAGUGUGCAUUAUAUAAACACACUACACAAACACUACAUUAUAUACACACACUAUACAAACACACUGCAUUAUAUACACAGUGUGUUUGUGUAGUGUAUGUGUAUAUAAUGGAGUGUGUGUGUGAGGGGGGGCAUUUUUUAUUACAUUUUUUUAUAUAUAUAUAUUUAAUAUUUAUUUUUGUUGUCCCUCCUCCCUGUUUCAUACCUGGCCAGGGAGGGGGAUAUAGCAGUCCCUGGUGGUCCAGUGGUAUUGGCUGAGCUCUGGGGGGGAGCAGGCAUCAAGCGCUUACUCACCUCCCAGCAGCUCCUCCAGCUCCCCAGUACAGCUGGAGGAGCUGCUGGGAGGUGAGUAAGCGCUUGAUGCCCGCUCCCCCCCAAGACCGCCGGGCUUGUAAUGAGCCUGGCGGUCCUAGGAGGUAUUAUCGGCAAUAUCGGUAUCUGAAUUGGCCGAUACCGAUAUUGCCGAAAAUACUGAAUAUCGGCCGAUUUAUAUCGGUAAAACCGAUAAUCGGUCGAUCCCUAGUUCAUGUACGCAAUUUAUGAACAUUCUUAAUCUGCCUGGAUUUACUAUUUAUUUUUUUCCUACGAAUUUGCUCAUUCAUGUGUAAAAUUAAUAGUAUUUUUAAGACCUUUUAUUUUUCUUUGUUUCUCUUUCACAUGAAUUACCUAGUCUGCUGCAGCCAGGAUGUAGUAAACCUGUUUAAAGGGACAGAGCAGAAUACAAUAUGACCUUCAUGUUUAGUUGUUGUUUGACCCAGACUUGGCAUCUUAUUGCAGUGAACACCCUCUCUACUCUACGGAGCCGUUCAAUUCAUGCAGCCAAUCCUAUCCCUUCCAUUUUUUUAUUUUUUUUAUUUUUUUUUAACGGAGAGUGCUGGGAAUAUCCCAUAAAUACAUCCGCCUUACCACUGAUCAGCUGUUUCAUUCUUUAAUAGAUGUGAAUGAAAGUACUGCUCAAAAUACUCCGCUUGCAGCUCAUUGGAAUCUUAGCCUUUCAGAUGGGCGCUUUCUUGAGUACUUAUAAAUAAUAAUAUAAUAUGUAAGACCUGAUCGAUUUUAUAGCUACAAUUUUACAAAUUGUUGCAGUUAUAAGCUACAUGCAGACUGUCUCAGGAUACACAUUGUAUGAGGAGAUCCAGCGUCGGUAAAAUCCCCAUAGAAAAGCAUUGAAGCAUAGUUGUGAUUGCCCUCACUAAAAGUGGCGCAAUCACCAUGCAAAACAGUGGAAUCACCAGGCACUUUGCGUUAGUGACUCCUCCACUUACAUUUUUGCCAAACACUUUGAUACAUUUCCUCCAUUGUGUCAACAGCUGGAGGAAGACCGCCAAGAGAACAGAUUUGUGUUUCCAUGGGUUUUUUCUAGCAUUUCAUAUUCUAUUUGGUAUAUUUUUACGUAAUCUGAUAUUGUUUAAUUUUAACAAGAAUCAUGUACUUCACCCAAAUGUAUAUUCUUCUUGCCAACUCUAUACUUUUUUUUUUUUUUUAAACUGCUAUAAAUACUUUUUUUUAACAUUAAUAUUUGACUUGUGAUGCAUUUUGUUUCUUUUCUUUUUAUGAAUGUUUGUUUAAAAUACUGUUGGAUUCAAUGAAGAAAUAAACUUUUUUAUAUUUCAUUUUUCUUUUUACAUAUAUUUAAGAUAAAUUGCUUCAUCUCUUGUGCUCUUAAGCCACAGUUCCUGGCUUCUGCUCUGGAGUAGUUUGAGAUACUGCUGUGACAAGGUCACCACACCAUUGCAUAAAUGCAGGGGCAAGAAAUGAAGAAAAAUGUUCAUGCAAAGGUUGUUUCAAUCCUAUUAAGCAGCAUACAACUCGCAUUACAGUUUCAUUGUCCUUUUUAGAUGUAUCCAUGCGAGUUUUCUAAAAAAAAAUUUCUGUAUAUAAGUCAUUCAUCAGCUGGAUAUCACCCAUCCUUUUACUUUUCUAAAGAGUCUAAAUUCCAAUUCUUCAUUUUGAGUUGAGUAUCACUUUAUUUGCGAUUGUAUUAACUUGCAUAUAUAUAUAUAUAUUUUUUUUUUCAACAAGACUUAGAACCAAAGCUUUCUUUCAUAUUGAAAACAAUUGCCUACGUGUGACCAUGUCUACAGUACCCUCACCACCUCCCCCGGCUGAGAUGUCAAGUGGGCCUGUAGCUGAAAGCUGGUGUUACACACAGGU